UCCCUGGUGGUACAGUGGGUAAGAAACCGCCUACCAAUGCAGGGGACACAGGUUCAAUCCCUGGUCCAGGAAG
This 73-nucleotide transfer RNA is filed under the name Haemonchus contortus (barber pole worm). RNAcentral's name for it is "tRNA, Pseudo". The record is from RNAcentral. Lineage: Eukaryota; Metazoa; Nematoda; Chromadorea; Rhabditida; Trichostrongylidae.